GAUCCUGGCUCAGGAUGAACGCUGGCGGCGCGCCUAACACAUGCAAGUCGAACGGACGAUGAAGAGCUUGCUUUUCAAAGUUAGUGGCGGACGGGUGAGUAACGCGUGGGUAACCUGCCUCAUACAGGGGAAUAGCAGCUGGAAACGGCUGAUAAAAACCGCAUAAGCGCACAGUGCCGCAUGGCACGGUGUGAAAAACUCCGGUGGUAUGAGAUGGACCCGCGUCUGAUUAGCUUG
This 237-nucleotide ribosomal RNA is filed under the name uncultured bacterium. RNAcentral describes it as "partial 16S ribosomal RNA". It matches the Rfam family "Bacterial small subunit ribosomal RNA", at positions 15 to 248 of the family's 1533-position model. The record is from RNAcentral.